RNAcentral lists this ribosomal RNA (253 nucleotides) under uncultured bacterium. Its description in RNAcentral is "partial 16S ribosomal RNA". It matches the Rfam family "Bacterial small subunit ribosomal RNA", at positions 524 to 776 of the family's 1533-position model. The record is from RNAcentral.
UACAGAGGUCUCAAGCGUUGUUCGGAUUCAUUGGGCGUAAAGGGUGCGUAGGCGGCGGGGCAAGUCUGAUGUGAAAUCCCGGGGCUCAACCCCGGAACUGCACUGGAUACUGCUCUGCUAGAGAUCUGGAGAGGAGACUGGAAUUUACGGUGUAGCAGUGAAAUGCGUAGAUAUCGUAAGGAAGGCCAGUGGCGAAGGCGAGUCUCUGGACAGAUUCUGACGCUGAGGCACGAAGGCCAGGGGAGCAAACGGG